UUCUAUCAGAUGAUUCUGAAACAUCUGGAACCAUUAUAUAAUACGAGUGCUAGGCUACAUUAGAAUUCAAUUUGUUGAUGUUUUAUUUGUAAGAAUAAGUCUGAAGCAAUCUUUAUAGUUACUGGAUUUGGAAAAGAAUUAAGGAUGCCAAGUGAUGGCGACAGCUUAUAUAGCCUAUAGGGCCAGGUGAUCCUUAGAUUGUACAACUGAGAGAAGACAGACACCAAGUGAUGGCAAAAGCUCAAAUAGCCCUUUGGUCCAGGAUUUUUUUCCCAGGAAACUGUCACCAUGGGCAGAGAUGCAAAUUAAUGCUUCAAAAAGAUCAAUCUUUCAUUGGUGGAAUGUAUGCUUAUUCACAGAAAAGAUCCACAUGUAUUUGCA
This is a long non-coding RNA of Mytilus californianus (California mussel), 381 nucleotides long. RefSeq lists it as uncharacterized. Lineage: Eukaryota; Metazoa; Mollusca; Bivalvia; Mytilida; Mytilidae. The record is from RefSeq and is a predicted model, not a curated record. The transcript is spliced from 3 exons.